This 4290-nucleotide long non-coding RNA is filed under the name Homo sapiens (human). RNAcentral describes it as "HSALNT0296530". The stretch from base 3745 to 3845 matches the Rfam family "mir-214 microRNA precursor family". The record is from RNAcentral. Lineage: Eukaryota; Metazoa; Chordata; Mammalia; Primates; Hominidae.
AGCAAAUGUGCCACGUCAAGACUGGAAAUCACAGCCCUUGAGUGUGUCUCAGUCAGCGCAGCAGAAUUCAGGGGGGAAAGCUGAAUGCAACCCCUGGUGCAGGAAGGGAGGCUUUUCCUGAGGACCGGGAGAGGAUUUUAAGUACAUAGAAGGAAGCUUCUGGAGAUCCUGCUCCGUCGCCCCAGUGUUCAGACUACCUGUUCAGGACAAUGCCGUUGUACAGUAGUCUGCACAUUGGUUAGACUGGGCAAGGGAGAGCAACGCCAUGGACCGCUGGGGACAAAAUGGGCUGUUUCCAAGGAGAAGACAUUUGUUUGCUCCUUUUUUGAAUCUCAUAUCCAGUGUUUUUCUUCACAGGUUUUGCACACUAGGGACCAAGAAGCCCUCGGGGACACUGCUGAGAAAAGACUGCCGAAGGGAAGACCAGCGGGGAUCAUGGAAUCUAUUCCAGAGGAAACUAACCAACAGUGAGCAUCUUCAACUAAAACUACCCCUGGAUGUAAUAAGUGUAAGUAUUAAAAUUAAACAUUAUAUGUGGUCAUGAAGAGAAAAUUGUUUCAGGGUCUGUCCAAACUACACUUCAUAGAAAUUUCAUAAUUAUUUUUCAUUUUAGCAUGUGAAUGAUUGAUAAAUUGGACUAGGUACUGGGUUAAAAGGACUUUUCCACCAUCUAAGAGAAAGGAAGUUCAGAGCCUUAGCUUCAACACCACAAUUUCUUAACUGGAAAAGGAUCAAUCUAAAACGGUGGACUUAAAUUUUCAAACUCAUUUUUCUUUUAGGCCACAGAUCUCAAAAUCAAAGAAAGACUGUUUACUAUAGGACAAAGUUUCACACUGAUCACUUUCCUGUAGUUAGUCAAUAGGCUUAAUAUCCUUCCUGCUUGGCAUUCGGGCUUUCGGCCCAGAUAAUAUGUUUAUGUUUGUAAAAGACCAAAAUAUACUAUCUACCCCCACCUCUCGCCUACAGACCACCCAUGUAUUUCACUCUGUGGGAAACAGUUUAGGCAUAAAAAUCCUAACGAAAGAAUUCUCCCCACUUUUUUGGUUGAAGUCUUAAGCUGUUAUAAGAUAUAAAAAGUACAACUUGGUAAUGUGAAAAAAUUCACUCAUCCACAAGCAUCCAUGCUCGGUAAAGAGACGCCAAAGCUUUCACUUACUCUGUAAGGGAUCUGCUCUUUAUAAACAAUGCACUUUACUCUGCUCUAAGGAGAAUAGCCCACCCAUCACAAUAACGUCAAAAUAAUAACUAAGAGACCAUCACUCAGAAAUCCUGGCUUAAAAUAACUAGAAGGUCAGGCUUUAACCUGAGACAGGAAAUUCCUGAGUUAAGAUAGAAACUUUCUUACUUCAAAUCCCUUCUUACUUUCAUGUUCUGUAAAUUAAGUAGAAAUAAAUAUUUACUCAUUUUCAAAGGUCUCUUACAAAUAAUUUUUAUCAGUUUUAAUAGUUAGAGAUAACGAAGUAAAUUAGGAAAAAUAAUUAAAUCUUCAUUUUGAAUUUUUUGACUUAGCGUGACAGCCAGUUUCCUGGAGUUGCUUUGGUUUAAUUUCACUACAGAAGACUUAGAAGACAAUUCUUUUCUUACAUUUUUUUCCUUAAGAAAUAAAAGACAAAAAGAAAACAAGGUGUAAUAACCACACUAAAAAUUACAUGGUAUGAUAAUAAUACAAAUAGCUCUUUUAUGUUUUAGCUAGUAUUUUAAGUAAUAAUAAACUAAUAUUCAACCUAUAAUUUGGGAGAUUAAAAAAAGGUCAAUAUGGUUUUCAGUCUUUCAUCUUUUUAACAAGUUUAGGGGCAGGUUCAACAUAACAAUGAAGUGUGCAUAUGUCACAUAGUUACUGUAAGUGUGUUUUAAAAAUCUAUCAGAAACAUAAAUUGUCCAAAAGCCUUAUGAAUAGAACAAUUGUUUUCAGCAAGAUUUUUUUUUUCCCCUGAAAAACUGUUGUGGUUUUUCUGGCUCAAAAAAUUUUUAUAUCUUGCCUUAAUAAAACUGUUUUAUAUUAAAGCAUAACAUACAAACUCACAAAUAUUUCUUUUUAUUUUUUCAGGUUGCAUGCAUCAUUCCUUUAAUUGAGCAGAGUUAACUGGAUCAAAUUAUUUAUGGGAGAGAGAGGAAAAGUUAUAAAGAAUUAUAGUAAUUUUUAAUUUCCACCAAUAUACUCUUUGUAAGUGAAUCACUCUAUAAUUACUUUCUGUUGCACUGAAUGCAGCAACAAUAACACAAUAGUAUUUUAAGGCACUGGUUUUUGGCAUACUCUAACCUUGUAAUUAUUUAAAUAACAGCCAAGUUUACUCAUGUUUUUGAUUCUGUCAAGAAAAAAAAAAAGUUCCUUUACUCGAAAGUGAUGGCCGAAACAGAAUCGGAAAUUUGUUUUCUUGAAAUUACAUAAAUACACAGAAAAUGGCACUUAUUAGCUUUUGUUAAAACAUUACCUUACCUAAUCACUGCAUAAAAGUCCAGAUUUGUAGAAAAUUGUAAUUUUCUCAGUAUCUAAAACUAUUUUGCUUUCCAUUAAGUUUCUAUUUGCUAUUUUCUCAGAAUUUUACAAUUAAAGAUAAAUCACAAACUGUUUGUUUUUCUUAAAGUUCUUUGAGAAAAUGUCUAAUUAUACAAUCCUUGGACAAUACUGUGUUUUUUUGGUGCUGUGUUUUUUAAGAAGUCCUACUUACUGGAAUUUUGACUAUUUGGAUAUUUUUGUUUUUAAAAGGGGAGGGGAAUUUGCUUAAUACUUCUAAAGAUGUGAAUUGAUAAUUGAUAUUAAAAUAGAAUUACUCUCAACUCACCAGAAUUAAAUUUUAUAUCUGCAUAUUUAACACUAUUAGCUCAUAUAAAUUAUAAGAAAAAUUUUCAAAGGAUCUGGUUUUAAUUUUUUGGAUAUGAAAUGAAUUUGCCUUUUCUGCCUUUUCUUAAGUACUAUUUUGUAACUAUAUUGCACUAACUAUAUCCAAAACACAUUCUGAGCAUCACUGUGAGUAACAGCCUUCCAGUUUGUACCCUUUUGAUUCACAGCAUGGCCCUAUAGUUAAUUAAGAGGUGGAUAACUUAAGCUCACAACUGCCUUUAAUUUGAUUUCACAUCCACAGUUAUAAACUUUGCAUUUAAAAGGAAAAUGAGACAUUUAAAUAGGUUCCUGUUGUUUCACAUAUAAUUGGUAAAAACAUAUUCCCUUGUAGGAUCCUAUUAUCAGAGCAUCAAAUACCAAAGUCAGCAACUUGGGUUGCCAAAUAAAUUAGGCUCAUUAAUUAUUUUGAAAAGGGCUGCUGUUUCCAUGUAAAUGAUAAUUUUCUUUUUCAUGGACAAGGUUAUGGUACUUAUCUACUAAAAGAAACAUGCAUAAACAUAGUUUUUAUCUUUAACUUCAGUAUUAAAAUAUGCAGUUUUUUGCAAAGAGGAAAAACAUCUGGUUCAAUUACGCUGAACUCUGACUACAUGUGGGCCAGUAAUAAUAUGAAUUGGACUUAAGAAUAAACCUUGUGUUUAAUCUCUUUUUUUCCUUAAAAUUUUAAUGUGAGUUUUCUGUUACGCAAAUUAUCCAUGUUAGCACAUUUGGAACAAAUGUAUAAAUGUACUUUCUGAAUAAAGUCAAAAGUCUAACUUGUUUUUAGUUCCAUAAUGUUUUAAUGUUUAAUUAUAUUGUGUAUUUUUCUCCCUUUCCCCUUACUCUCCAAAAUCACCAAAUCUGGAAAACAGGCUGAUUGUAUCUGUCUAUGAGCAAAGGAAACCUGAAGGAACCAAGGGCCUGGCUGGACAGAGUUGUCAUGUGUCUGCCUGUCUACACUUGCUGUGCAGAACAUCCGCUCACCUGUACAGCAGGCACAGACAGGCAGUCACAUGACAACCCAGCCUGAAUGACAACCAGCCAUUGAAAGAAAGCAGCCCUCACACCAUAGCAUCUACACCAAGAGCUACAACCAAAAUGAGGGGCUCGGGGGCCUGGGGUUUUAAUCUGUUGGUUUAAUACUUAACUCAUGUAUUAUUUUAUUUUGAUUCAAGUAUUAAAACCCACCAAAAGUAAAGUGAGUGGUGCCUAUGAAAUAUAAUAAAACCCAUUUCUGAAAAUGUUCCUGUGCAUUCUAUAGUUCUCUUUUCCUAAUUGUUGUCAGCAAAUCACUACCCUUGACCUUUAUUGUACACAGCUUUGCAGCACCCUAUAUUGAUAUAAAAACUCAAUAUAACAAAACAAUAUAACUUCAGUCUGAUGCUUAACAAAGAAUAAAUUAUUCUAAGAAUUCUUGUCCAUAAACUAAGUAUGGUUUUCUAUGUCAUGAUUUUUUUUUUUUUUUUUUUUUU